This is an unclassified non-coding RNA of Erinaceus europaeus (western European hedgehog), 328 nucleotides long. Its record names the gene 7SK. It matches the Rfam family "7SK RNA". Rfam says of the family: 7SK was discovered as an abundant small nuclear RNA in the mid-70s but a possible function has only recently been suggested. Two independent studies have found that 7SK RNA binds the CDK9/cyclin T complex (known as elongation factor P-TEFb). The record is from Ensembl. NCBI's taxonomy places the organism in Eukaryota, Metazoa, Chordata, Mammalia, Eulipotyphla, Erinaceidae.
GGAUGUGAGGGCGAUCUGGCUACAACAUCUGUCACCCCAUUGAUUUCCAGGGUUGAUUCGGCUGAUCUGGCUGUCUAGGCGGGUGUCCCCUUCCUCCCUCACCGCUCCAUGUGCAUCCCCCCCCCCCCGAAGCUGGAGGGACUUCGCUCAGUCAAAGAGGAUGGCCUUCCCCAAAUAGAGACAGACUGGUCUUCAGUCAAGGGUAUGGGUAGCUGUGCUCCCUUUCUAGAACCUCCAAACAAGCUCUCAAGUCUGUCUUAAGGACACAGUUUUGGACUGAUAAUCAGAAAUACACAUACCAUUUCUUUUCUUUCUGAAUCUAUUAUUG